This 45-nucleotide non-coding RNA is filed under the name Trichobilharzia regenti. The record is from RNAcentral. Lineage: Eukaryota; Metazoa; Platyhelminthes; Trematoda; Strigeidida; Schistosomatidae.
AUCUAGUUGACGAGUCCCAAAAAGGACGAAAUGCGCAUCUUGGAU